RNAcentral lists this ribosomal RNA (2497 nucleotides) under human gut metagenome. RNAcentral's name for it is "bacterial LSU rRNA". It matches the Rfam family "Bacterial large subunit ribosomal RNA", at positions 448 to 2925 of the family's 2925-position model. The record is from RNAcentral.
GAGCGCUGUUAUUGUAGGCUGAAUACUAGCCGCCGACCGAUAGCGAACCAGUACCGUGAGGGAAAGGUGAAAAGAACCCCGCGAGGGGAGUGAAAUAGAACCUGAACCCAUUCGCCUUCAAGCUGCAGGAGCCUUUCGGGGUGACUGCUUGCCUUUUGCAUAAUGAGUCUGCGAGUUGCCCUUGUCGGCCAGGUUAAGCCGAUGGCCGAGCCGAAGCGAAAGCGAGUGCGAACAGCGCGUUUAGUCGGCAGGGGCAGACCCGAAGCUGGGUGAUCUAUCCAUGGCCAGGCUGAACCCCCGGUAACACGGGGCGGAGGGCCGAACCAGUACCUGUUGAAAAAGGUUUGGAUGAGCUGUGGAUGGGAGCGAAAGACCAAUCAAACCCAGUGAUAGCUGGUUCUCUCCGAAAUAGCUUUAGGGCUAGCCUCGGCGCAUGUCGCAGCGGGGGUAGAGCGACCGAUUGGCCUAGGGUCCCCACCGGGAUGCCGAAGCCGGCCGAACUCCGAAUACCGCAUGCGUUCGCGCCGGGAGUCAGACGGCGGGGGAUAAGCUCCGUCGUCGAAAGGGAAACAGCCCACACCGCCGGUUAAGGCCCCCAAUGGCAUUCUUAGUGGAUUGAAGGAUGUGGCGUCACGUUGACAUUCAGGAUGUUGGCUCAGAGGCAGCCACCAUUUGAAGAGUGCGUAACAGCUCACUGAACGAGUGAUGCCGCGCCGAAAAUGAUCGGGACUUAAGAAUGCAGCCGAAUCCGCGGAAGCGCAGCGAUGCGCUUGGUAGGAGAGCGUCGCACUCUGCGUUGAAGGUGCCGGGGAACUGGUGCUGGAGCGUGUGCGAGUGAUCAUGCAGACAUGAGUAACGAAAAGGGGGGUGUGAAUCCCCCCCGCCGAAAGUCCAAGGUUUCCUGGGCCAGGUUCGUCCCCCCAGGGUCAGUCGGGUCCUAAGGCCAGGCAGAAAUGCGUAGCCGAUGGCAUCCAGGUCAACAUUCCUGGACCCGUGAUGGCCAGUGAAGGCGUGACGCGGAAGGGAAGAUGCGCCGGCGAUUGGAAGUGCCGGUCCAAGCGGGCAGGCCGGGGAAUGGUCAAAUGCGUUCCCCGCCAGGCCGAGCCGUGAUGGGGUGGAGCGGGUUCGCCCGUUCCGAAGGCGUUGUCACCAUGCCGCCAAGAAAAGCGUCUAAACGUUACAAAGCCAUUUCGGUCCGUACCGCAAACCGACACAGGUGGACAGGUCGAACAGACCAAGGCGCGCGAGAGAAACCACGUUAAGGAACUCGGCAAACUAGCCUCGUAACUUCGGGAUAAGAGGCGCUCUGCGGGGUGCGGCGAACUUGCUUUGCCGUGCGUUGCGGAGCCUCAGUGAAGAGGCCCAGGCGACUGUUUAACAAAAACACAGCACUCUGCCAAGCCGCAAGGCGACGUAUAGGGUGUGACACGUGACCAAUGCCGUAAGGUCAAUCGGAAGCGUCAGCCGCAAGGCGAAGCGCGGAUGUGAAGCCCCGGUGAAUGUCGGCCGUAACUAUAACGGUCCUAAGGUAGCGAAAUUCCUUGUCGGGCAAGUUCCGACCUGCACGAAUCGUGUAACGAUAUGGGCGCUGUCUCAACGAGGAUCUCGGUGAAGUUGUAGUGCCGGUGAAAAUGCCGGAUACCCGCAGAAGGACGGAAAGACCCCAUGAACCUUUACUGUAGCCUGGUACUGGGUUCUGGUCGGAUGCAUGUAGCAUAGCCGGGAGGCUUGGAAGGGCGCUCGUCAGGGCGCCCGGAGCCGCAACGUGAAAUACCGGUUCCAUCCGGGCGGAGUUCUAACCCCAUCCCGUCAUCCGGGAGGGGGACAAUGCCAGGGGGUCAGUUUGACUGGGGCGGUUUCCUCCCAAACAGUAACGGAGGAGUUCGAAGAUCGGCUCAGCACGGUCGGCAAUCGUGCGUCGAGCGCAAGGGUAGAAGCCGGUCUGACUGCGACACCGACAGGUGGGGCAGACGCGAAAGCGGGACCUAGUGAUCCGGCGCUUCCUCGUGGAAGGGGCGUCGCUCAACGGAUAAAAGGUACUCUGGGGAUAACAGGCUGAUCGCGGCCGAGAGUUCACAUCGACGCCGCGGUUUGGCACCUCGAUGUCGGCUCUUCGCAUCCUGGGGCUGGAGAAGGUCCCAAGGGUUUGGCUGUUCGCCAAUUAAAGCGGAACGCGAGCUGGGUUCAAAACGUCGUGAGACAGUUUGGUCCUUAUCCUCUGUGGGCGCAGGUGGUUUGACGGGAGCAUUCCCUAGUACGAGAGGACCGGGAAUGACGGGCCCAUGGUGUUCCGGUUGUCGCGCCAGCGGCAUGCCGGGUAGCUAUGCCCGGAACGGAUAAGCGCUGAAGGCAUCUAAGCGCCAAGCCUCCCCGAAGACGAGACCACCCGCCAGAAAUGGCCUCAAGCGCGGUCGUAGACGACGACCUCGAUAGGCCGCAGGUGCAGGCGCGGCGACGCGUUGAGCCGAGCGGUACUAAUCGCGCGUGCGGCUUGGCU